UCCGAGUUGACCCCGGCAGUCUCCUAUGAGUCCCCACCAUCCCGAAGGACGUGCUGGCAACAUAGGACGAGGGUUGCGCUCGUUGCGGGACUUAACCCAACAUCUCACGACACGAGCUGACGACAACCAUGCACCACCUGUACAGGGCCCUUGCGGACCCGACAUCUCUGCCGGAUUUCCCUGUAUGUCAAGCCUUGGUAAGGUUCUUCGCGUUGCGUCGAAUUAAUCCGCAUGCUCCGCCGCUUGUGCGGGCCCCCGUCAAUUCCUUUGAGUUUUAGCCUUGCGGCCGUGCUCCCCAGGCGGGGUGCUUAAUGCGUUAGCUUCGGCACGGAAGGGGUCGAUAUCCCCCCACACCUAGCACCCAUCGUU
This 369-nucleotide unclassified non-coding RNA is filed under the name uncultured Actinomycetes bacterium. Its description in RNAcentral is "uncultured actinobacterium contains 16S-23S intergenic spacer region". Lineage: Bacteria; Bacillati; Actinomycetota; Actinomycetes. The record is from RNAcentral.